GUUAAAGUACAGAAAAAAUAAUUCUAAAAUGUAAAAUCAAUCAAUCUAAAACUAAAAUCAACCACAAAUUAUCAACACUGAGGCUGGGGAAGGAAAAAAGGGUAAAGGGUGGGAAAAGAUAAGGAUAAAAAGGAAUAAGGAAGGCCCUCCCAAUGUUUAAAGAGGUCUGCUUUGCCAGACUUAGGCCCAGACUAGGCCAAUGGCUUGGGCCUAAACUCUGGCUGUUAUUUGGGCAAGGAAAAUAAGUUUCCAAAGCUUCUUAUUAAAAACCAAAACCUUGUUAUAGACAGCACCAGUUCCUGGGAGCAGACAGUGUUUCUGAUAAGCUCAGCCCAGAUGCAGCUCAUCAAGGCCAAGGCCUAAUGAGCAUUUUUAAAUCAUACUGCAGCCCGAGGAGUUCUGUGGGUGCCCUUCACUAGUAAGAAAACAGUGAUUUUCCCCAGUAAAAAUCUCUUGCACAAGUCAGUAUGUCCUCUCCUUGUCCUUGACAACGGUAGGGCCAGAGCUGGGUUUUCUUUCAGGACCUGCUCAGAAAUCUAUAGUGCCUGUUUCUUGUCCCAUGCCAGGGCAAUGCCAUCUCUCUGUUUCACAGGGAGAAUGGAAGUUCUUUAUCCAUGUCAGAACUGCCCUGUGUAAACACGCAAAAGACAACUUUGAGUAAAUUGUGCAAUACAUGUUUCUAGAACCUAUAGAGAAAUAUAGACUGUUAGUCCAAAGCUUCCAGAUCAAAAUGUUGUUUUCAGUGAAAAUGGAUUUUCAAUCUAACUGUCCAGUUGCAGGUACCCCCCAUGUAAAAUUCCAUCAGUGGUCCACAGGUCAUCUUCUUUUAUGUGAGGAAUUGCCUUAUUUGGGAAAGAUCAUCCUCUUCAACGAGAGUGCUGCGCCUCAGCUUUUCACACAGUGCCUCUGGACAUUGAAUCAGAAGACAAUGAUAUGUUCUCCCACCCUGGAGAAGCUCUGCCACCCCAUCCUCAGGAGCUUCCCCUCUGGGCUGUACUUUAAGCCACUCUGGGAAGAUGAGAAAAUUAAGAUCUUUUAUCAGCAAUGCCCACAGUCCCAUGACAUUAUUUGUGAGCGAUGACCUGAAUUUAUACUGUGCUUUUCACCUGCAGACCACUGGUCUACAAAAUGGGGGGGGGGAGUUUGUUUAGCAGAAACCGGAAUAAAGACUCCUCCCAGCAACUCCA
This 1187-nucleotide long non-coding RNA is filed under the name Cyanistes caeruleus (blue tit). RNAcentral describes it as "lncRNA (ENSCCEG00000000930.1)". The record is from RNAcentral. Lineage: Eukaryota; Metazoa; Chordata; Aves; Passeriformes; Paridae.